Molecule: long non-coding RNA, 1319 nt
Organism: Mastomys coucha (southern multimammate mouse)
Lineage: Eukaryota; Metazoa; Chordata; Mammalia; Rodentia; Muridae
Exons: 3
Source: RefSeq, a predicted model, not a curated record
GUAAUCCUUUCCCUCCUCACACCUUCCAAAGGACCUCCUCAUCCUGAGACGCCACCUGGGGGUGGGGGGUGGUGGUUAGGGUAACCAGGGGAUGGGUGCCCCGGGCCAGCGGGAGAACUAGCUCCUGCAAGCCGCACCAGUCGGGCGCCCCGCGGUCCGCGCAGAGUUAACUGUGGCUCGCGCAGCUCCCCGGCUCCCGCGCGCGCGCGCGCCCACACUCGCGGUCCAGAUUUAAGGUGGUCGGGAGCAGAUGAGGGAGAUGGAGGGAGAAGAUGGAAGGAGAAUGGCCCUGUUCUCAGCCUCCACGACUCCUCUUUGCUCCAGCUCUGGCCCGCCACCCUAAGGCUAGUCUCCUAGGCUUCCCGUACAGCAGGUACCCGGUGGCGAGAUGCGCGUCGCGUCGCGUCGCGCGGGCUGUUCUACUCUUGUUUUCUCUAGCCCCCGCCCCCUGCACUUGCGCCCCGCCAGCGCCGCUCCGCCAGCCGCUUGGCGCACCUAGCCCUAAAGGUUGAAAAUUAAAGCGAUUGCGAAGCCGGCAAGUUCCAAGUCCCUCCCCUAAGGUACUGAGGGCUCUGGAGAAAUGAGGAGCAUCCUUAAAGAAAUAUCAAUACAGUCUCUGACCGGCACAGUUGAGGACGAUGGGAUCGCAAUCAGGGCCAGCCCGGGGCACACCAGCAGCGAGGAAGCAAGGAUCACCAGAAAACAUCUGGCCAGCAGCAGCAGCAUCUCGUCCGCGGAACCAGAAGACUUGUGAGCUGUCCCCGCGCUGUCUGUGCGCGAGCGGGUACGCGCGGGUGUGUGCGUGUGCGCUCCUCCUUGCGCUCGGCUCUCCCUUCCUCGCUCGGCUCGUUCGUUCCCUCUGGCGCUGCCUGGCUCUUUCUCUUCCUAUAUAACCUUGCCUGCCGGUGCUGCAGGGGACUUGUCUCCGAUCCCCACCCAGACAGGGGCUGCGAUGGCAGGGUGCCGGUCGCUAGUAACGGAACACAUCGGAGUUGGGUCUCGAGACAGCAAUUAAAAGACAAAAAGAGCCCGAUUUUAAAUGGUAGCAAGGCUGGAGAGCUUGUGAGACAGGCUGCCUUUCGCACUAUAUUAUAGCUGGCAGGGGCGCAUCUGAUUGGCCAAGCCGCACAAGCUUGUCUUCUGAUGUUAACCCUGAGAAAGACUACAUUUCUCCCCCCUCUGACUGCUGUGGCUUUAUUUUCACCUGAAGGCUUCCAGUUAAAAAAAGAAAAAAAAAAGAAAAAAAAAAACUCUUUACUAAGGUAAAGGUGGGUGGGAGGAAGGAGGCCUGUUUAUUGGAAUAAAUCCCCUGCCCUGCC